Molecule: unclassified non-coding RNA, 353 nt
Filed under: Hevea brasiliensis (rubber tree)
Lineage: Eukaryota; Viridiplantae; Streptophyta; Magnoliopsida; Malpighiales; Euphorbiaceae
Source: RNAcentral
AUUAUUCAGGCUGUUCCUCUUAGUUCAAGAAAAACUACUGGAGGUUCUGCAGAAGGGAUUGCACCCUUUUUGCAGCUGCCCCAUUUCAGUGAGUCUGUUGUCAAGAAGAUAGCUCGGAAGAAAGUGAGAUCUUUUCAGGAUUUUUGUGAUAUGGCUCGUCAAGAUCGUGCUGACCUCCUAGAGCAGGUUGCUGGAUUCUCCUUACCUGAAGUACAAGAUAUUGAGAUGGUACUGGAAAUGAUGCCUUCUGUAACCAUUGAAGUUAGAUGUGAGACUGAAGGUGAAGAAGGUAUACAGGAGGGUGACAUUGUCACCGUUCAAGCUUGGGUAACCAUCAAACGUGCUAAUGGCUU